Molecule: ribosomal RNA, 465 nt
Filed under: uncultured bacterium
Lineage: Bacteria
Description: partial 16S ribosomal RNA
Rfam family: Bacterial small subunit ribosomal RNA
Source: RNAcentral
GACGAACGCUGGCGGCGUGCUUAACACAUGCAAGUCGAACGGAAAGGCCCUGCUUGCAGGGUACUCGAGUGGCGAACGGGUGAGUAACACGUGGGUGAUCUGCCCUGCACUUCGGGAUAAGCCUGGGAAACUGGGUCUAAUACCGGAUAGGAGCCAUUUUUAGUGUGAUGGUUGGAAAGUUUUUUCGGUGUAGGAUGAGCUCGCGGCCUAUCAGCUUGCUGGUGGGGUAAUGGCCUACCAAGGCGGCGACGGGUAGCCGGCCUGAGAGGGUGGACGGCCACAUUGGGACUGAGAUACGGCCCAGACUCCUACGGGAGGCAGCGGUGGGGAAUAUUGCACAAUGGGCGCAAGCCUGAUGCAGCGACGCCGCGUGGGGGAUGACGGCCUUCGGGUUGUAAACUCCUUUCGCUAGGGACGAAGCUUUUUGUGACGGUACCUAGAUAAGAAGCACCGGCUAACUACGUG